This 21-nucleotide non-coding RNA is filed under the name Caenorhabditis elegans. The record is from RNAcentral. Lineage: Eukaryota; Metazoa; Nematoda; Chromadorea; Rhabditida; Rhabditidae.
UGUACUCUAUACCUUUACCCU